RNAcentral lists this ribosomal RNA (482 nucleotides) under uncultured bacterium. Its description in RNAcentral is "partial 16S ribosomal RNA". It matches the Rfam family "Bacterial small subunit ribosomal RNA", at positions 30 to 507 of the family's 1533-position model. The record is from RNAcentral.
AUUGAACGCUGGCGGCAUGCCUUACACAUGCAAGUCGAACGGUAACAGGUCUUCGGAUGCUGACGAGUGGCGAACGGGUGAGUAAUACAUCGGAACGUGCCCGAUCGUGGGGGAUAACGAGGCGAAAGCUUUGCUAAUACCGCAUACGAUCUACGGAUGAAAGCGGGGGAUCUUCGGACCUCGCGCGGACGGUGCGGCCGAUGGCAGAUUAGGUAGUUGGUGGGAUAAAAGCUUACCAAGCCGACGAUCUGUAGCUGGUCUGAGAGGAUGAUCAGCCACACUGGGACUGAGACACGGCCCAGACUCCUACGGGAGGCAGCAGUGGGGAAUUUUGGACAAUGGGCGAAAGCCUGAUCCAGCCAUGCCGCGUGCAGGAUGAAGGCCUUCGGGUUGUAAACUGCUUUUGUACGGAACGAAAAGCCUCUUUCUAAUAAAGAGGGGUCAUGACGGUACCGUAAGAAUAAGCACCGGCUAACUACGUG